This is a long non-coding RNA of Amblyraja radiata (thorny skate), 430 nucleotides long. RefSeq lists it as uncharacterized. The record is from RefSeq and is a predicted model, not a curated record. NCBI's taxonomy places the organism in Eukaryota, Metazoa, Chordata, Chondrichthyes, Rajiformes, Rajidae. The transcript has 2 exons.
AAGGAAGAAGUGUCUCGACCCGAAACGUUGCCUCUUUCCUCCGCCUGGACCUACCGAUCUGCCUCACCCUCUGAGUUUCUCCAGCAUAUUCAGCAUUGUCUAUAUUCUAAUCAUCAACAGCUAAUGACUGUUAACUCACACCCUACAGUCGCGUAGAUUUGUUGGGUUGAGAGAUUAACCCAACUUUCUUCACUGCCUGCUGUACCUGCAUGUUGACUCGGAGAUGCCCCGUCAUCUGAACUCCAGCAAGGCAGAAGCUGACCACAAGCCCAGAUCUCCGCGACUCCUCGCUCUCCUGCAGAGAUACAAUGGCUUCAUCUUCACAAUCUGCAUACUUCAGUCAGCAAGAAAUCAAUGAACUGCGGACUACAUAUGAUCAGGAUGGGCUGAGCAAGUUUGCGGCACAGAUCGUGAAGAAAUUGAACGAUAU